CCAGAGACACAGCGGACAGAAUAUCAGAAGGAUCACAAUCAAAAACUGCAAAGAAAUCAUGUCAGUCAAUUCCUCUUCCUCGUUUUCUCCUUCCAACUCUUCCUCCAUCAAUGUCAUUGAAUUCCUGCAGAACUGCUACAGAAGUCCAGCCGGCGCCUCCAGCAUGAUCGCUUUCACCGUCUGCAGCCUCCUGCUGGUCCUCCCUCCCUGCGUCUACGUCGUCUACCUGGGACUCAAACAACGGCGCUCCGGCACGGCGGCGAGCCACUCCGACGUCUUCACCUUCCACAUGGUCGCCAUCGAGCUGAUGAAUAUCGUAGGGAACCUUUUCUGCUGUUGUGGCGUCCUCGCUGGUCUCCCAGAAAUGCUGGCCUCCCGUCAACAGUCAUGUCAGCCAACUCUUCCUCCUUCAACUUGUCUGCAGACCUGCAGAUCUGCAUCGACAGCACAUCCUGCGCCUCCGGCAUGAUCGCUUUCACCGUCUGCAGCCUCCUGCUGGUCCUCCCUCCCUGCGUCUACGUCGUCUACCUGGGACUCAAACAACGGCGCUCCGGCACGGCGGCGAGCCACUCCGACGUCUUCACCUACCACGUGGUCGCCAUCGAGCUGAUGAAUAUCGUCGGGAACCUUUUAUGCAGCUGUGCCGUCGUCGGUGGUCCCAUAGAAUUGAUGAUUGCGGGUAUGACCUUUUUUAGCAUGAACAUGUGCGGCCAGCAGCUGUUUCACUCUCUGACCUGUGUGGAGCGCUACCUGGCCGUCGUUCACCCCGUCACCUACCUGGGCCUGAAGAACCAGAAGGGCGUCAGAGUCAGAAACGUCUCCAUCGGAUGUGUUUGGCUGCUGUGCUUCGCAUACAUAAGUACACUAUUUUUGGGGACCUUUUUUUCCUCAUACAUCCUCUCCUUUUGCGUCACAUUGUUUAACUUCGUCCUCAUCUCCUUCUGCAGCCUUUCUGUUCUCUGUGUUCUGAUCGGUCCAGGGCCGGGGACGGGGCCCGGGGGGGGGAGCAGGCAGCGGGUCGACCAAUUAAAGAUGAGAGCGUUCUACACCAUCACGGUCAUACUGGGGGUACUGUUGCUGAAGCUUGGGGGGUCUACAGCUAACUUUGUCAUAUAUUCCUUAAAAGACCUGACGCGGUCUGAUGGUUGGAUUGUGUGGUUGUGUUUGACCUGGUUGUCUCUGCCCAGCAGUCUCCUGCUGCCGCUGCUCUUUCUUCACAGGGACGGAAAACUUGUGUGUCGCAAGACCGUCGAGGACUGAGGACACGGGUCAGAUUAGGUGGUGAUCUUCUUUCGGCUGUGUGUCUUGGUUCUUUGUUGGAAUGUGAUCCUCCUCGUUGGCAAACGUCUUGAUCCAGACAAGCAACAUUUGUUCUAUUGAACAGUCACAGGGGAUUUAAUCAGAAUAAAAUAUGAAACAAGUUAGCAAAAGGCUGGACUAAAGUCUCCUUUACGGCCUCUUUUUGUCUUAAAAUAACAAAUGACCUUCUGAGACUGACAGGUGUGAUUUGAAUGAACACCGGUUUUAAGUUACAGAUCAUGUGAAUCCAGUCUCACCUCCACGUAAAAUACAAAAAUACAAAAACAGGCUCAUUCCCAAUAAUGAAAUACACGAUGCAAGUACAUAUUUAAUAUGAAAGUAUAUUUAAUGUCCUGUAGGCUGGUAUUGUCUUGUGUGCCUGAAGAAAACGUAGUUCCCUGAAAUGUAUUUGCAUGUAUAAUCCUAAAAUAUAGUGGUUGCAGUUUUUAUGUGCAUUAACACAAACAUUCACAAUGUUUGUUUUUUUAAAUGACUGAAUAAAUCAUCAUUAUCGGCUGAAGUGUCUUUGAGCAAAGUAGUGGCGUCGUGUUCUUCUGCAUCUGGGAAGGAAAUUAGAUGCAAAUCAAAAUAAUUUUGAAGUGAAUGAGCGAUUUCCUACUGGGUAGAAAACAUGCAAAACACACACACACACACACACACACACACACACAC
Gasterosteus aculeatus aculeatus (three-spined stickleback) is the source of this 1971-nucleotide long non-coding RNA. The record is from Ensembl. NCBI's taxonomy places the organism in Eukaryota, Metazoa, Chordata, Actinopteri, Perciformes, Gasterosteidae.